Molecule: long non-coding RNA, 728 nt
Filed under: Triticum aestivum (bread wheat)
Lineage: Eukaryota; Viridiplantae; Streptophyta; Magnoliopsida; Poales; Poaceae
Description: long non-coding RNA (TAES_LNC003715)
Source: RNAcentral
GUUAGAGCAUUUUUUUAACGCAAGAAAAUAGUCUAAAUCAUUCAUCCAUGGAUUAAUUCUUGGAGUAGCUAGUUUUUACACAAAGUUUGAAAUAUCUCCAUCUCAGUGCAACCAGGAUUGUUUGCUUUUAAAAUGCUAAAUGCAUUGUUAUCCUUGAUGGAAGAUUGUGGUCAUUUAAAUGGUAUGCGCUCCACAGCUGUUGCAUUGCUGUUAUGGUGAUAUCUUAAAGAAUUGCUUCGUCUGAUUUGGAGAAGAUUGUGGACAAGCUAGGUCAACAGAAUCUCAAUGAGAUAUCCAUUCUAUCAAAUUCGAGUAUCAGGUACAUACAUGAACACAACAAGAUCUCCUGACAAUUGGGCAGCCAGUUAUAGAUGUUAUACUCUUGACACCUCGUAAUGUUGGUAUAAGGGUACGUGGCUUUGCCAUUUUCUUGUUACGCUGACAGUUAUAUAUCGUCUUAGCAGUUGUUUUUGUGGUGCAGAUGCCCAUUGGGAAGACUUCAGUUCUGCCAAACAGGCAACACAAAUAUUUCUUCCUGCAAAGGUGUCUCGCUUUAAUUAUGAAAGAGGCUACACGCGAAACAUUUUGUAGCACUUGUCUAUUAAGAAAGGGCUAAUGUUUCUCAAAUCAAUUAUAGUAUCCAUUUUUUCUUCAGAAAAGAAAGAAAGAACGUUCAGGGUGGGCUUCCAGACAAUCCUCCACAUUUAUACCACUGUAAAGAUUGUUUG